GAUGAACGCUGGCGGCGUGCCUAAUACAUGCAAGUCGAGCGAACGGACGAGAAGCUUGCUUCUCUGAUGUUAGCGGCGGACGGGUGAGUAACACGUGGAUAACCUACCUAUAAGACUGGGAUAACUUCGGGAAACCGGAGCUAAUACCGGAUAAUAUUUUGAACCGCAUGGUUCAAAAGUGAAAGACGGUCUUGCUGUCACUUAUAGAUGGAUCCGCGCUGCAUUAGCUAGUUGGUAAGGUAACGGCUUACCAAGGCAACGAUGCAUAGCCGACCUGAGAGGGUGAUCGGCCACACUGGAACUGAGACACGGUCCAGACUCCUACGGGAGGCAGCAGUAGGGAAUCUUCCGCAAUGGGCGAAAGCCUGACGGAGCAACGCCGCGUGAGUGAUGAAGGUCUUCGGAUCGUAAAACUCUGUUAUUAGGGAAGAACAUAUGUGUAAGUAACUGUGCACAUCUUGACGGUACCUAAUCAGAAAGCCACGGCUAACUACGUGCCAGCAGCCGCGGUAAUACGUAGGUGGCAAGCGUUAUCCGGAACUAUUGGGCGUAAAGCGCGCGUAGGCGGUUUUUUAAGUCUGAUGUGAAAGCCUACGGCUCAACCGUGGAGGGUCAUUGGAAACUGGAAAACUUGAGUGCAGAAGAGGAAAGUGGAAUUCCAUGUGUAGCGGUGAAAUGCGCAGAGAUAUGGAGGAACACCAGUGGCGAAGGCGACUUUCUGGUCUGUAACUGACGCUGAUGUGCGAAAGCGUGGGGAUCAAACAGGAUUAGAUACCCUGGUAGUCCACGCCGUAAACGAUGAGUGCUAAGUGUUAGGGGGUUUCCGCCCCUUAGUGCUGCAGCUAACGCAUUAAGCACUCCGCCUGGGGAGUACGACCGCAAGGUUGAAGCUCAAAGGAAUUGACGGGGACCCGCACAAGCGGUGGAGCAUGUGGUUUAAUUCGAAGCAACGCGAAGAACCUUACCAAAUCUUGACAUCCUUUGACAACUCUAGAGAUAGAGCCUUCCCCUUCGGGGGACAAAGUGACAGGUGGUGCAUGGUUGUCGUCAGCUCGUGUCGUGAGAUGUUGGGUUAAGUCCCGCAACGAGCGCAACCCUUAAGCUUAGUUGCCAUCAUUAAGUUGGGCACUCUAAGUUGACUGCCGGUGACAAACCGGAGGAAGGUGGGGAUGACGUCAAAUCAUCAUGCCCCUUAUGAUUUGGGCUACACACGUGCUACAAUGGACAAUACAAAGGGCAGCGAAACCGCGAGGUCAAGCAAAUCCCAUAAAGUUGUUCUCAGUUCGGAUUGUAGUCUGCAACUCGACUACAUGAAGCUGGAAUCGCUAGUAAUCGUAGAUCAGCAUGCUACGGUGAAUACGUUCCCGGGUCU
This 1372-nucleotide ribosomal RNA is filed under the name uncultured bacterium. Its description in RNAcentral is "bacterial SSU rRNA". It matches the Rfam family "Bacterial small subunit ribosomal RNA", at positions 28 to 1381 of the family's 1533-position model. The record is from RNAcentral.